This 360-nucleotide long non-coding RNA is filed under the name Erythranthe guttata (spotted monkey flower). Its description in RNAcentral is "long non-coding RNA (EGUT_LNC003487)". The record is from RNAcentral. Lineage: Eukaryota; Viridiplantae; Streptophyta; Magnoliopsida; Lamiales; Phrymaceae.
CACUACAAGAAAUAAUGCCUUUAGGGACGACUUUUUAUGGUCGCUAAAAGCAAAAAAAUGGUCGCUAAAACGUAUAGCGAGCAAAUUAAGCUUGGUCACUCGUGGUCACAACAGGGUGGCUACUAAAAGUAUUAGUGACCAGUUAAUCGAUUGGACGCAAAAGUGACUUCUUUUGCGACCAUACAAUCAUGGUCAUUAAAGAUGAAUUUAUUUGCGACCAAUUAAUUAAUCGCUAAUCUAAAAAAAUAUGGUCUCUAUAAUAUUGAUAUGGUUGCUAUACAUAUACAUUUAGUCACCAAUCGUCUUGGUUGCAGUAUAAUAUUUCUGUAGCGACCAAAACAUUGAUGGUAACAUAAUACU